GGAGUCCAGGGUCUGAGGGCCUGGGCACUUCUCCAAGUGUCCUGGCAUUUAAGCAGAAUGGGGUAGGGCUUAGGGCUGUGGGCACGACCCCCCCCACCCCCCACACACAGGGACAGCCCUCGGAAUAUAAAGAAGGAAAUGCUGAGGGCAGGGGCAGCCGCAGGAGGCAGGCGCCUCGGGGCCCCAGGAAGAGCAGAAACACAGUUCCCACCUCAGCAGGAAAAGAGUCUCACCCAAGCCCAGGAGCCCAUGGCCAACUGCAUGCAGCCCCACAGGAAGGCCAGCAGCACAGCACAGGGGGGGUCAUGGAAGGUGUAGAAGGAGACCAGGAGGGACCUGAUGGCCACGGGGCCCAGAGUCACAUCCCGGGAGGUGCCAGGAAGAACUAUAUGAAGCACCCCUGAAGGCAGAGUGGAGGCCAGACUGCUGGGGAGAGAGAGCGAUGAGCACCCAGGAGACACACGGCACACCCACGGUGUCCCUGGUGUAGACGUCUGAGCACGGGAUCUGUGUGUCCAUCGUGUACUUUGGGCACACCAGCGCACACAGGCAGGGUACACGCUCACCCUCCUUCAUCCAUGGGUGUGACCUCCAGUGAUCGAGGGACCUCUUUUCCACCCGCACCCAACUGGGGCCUCGGGUGCCACCUGCGGGAGCACAAAGGCCUGUGUGCCUCUGUGUGAGUGUGUGAGUCUGAGAAAGUGUUCUUAAAGCUACCGUGAGUCAUCCUGCUGUCCCACCACACAAUCCAGAACUAGGCCUGUGUCUGUGUGUGACAAGUGUGAUAAGAGCAGUUACGGCGCGUGAGUCUGCCCAAAGGCAGUCACAGGUCUGGAUUGUAAACCAAGACUUCUUGGGCCCCAUGGAGCCCUGGCUGCCCUGCUGUCUGGAGGGGAUACUGUGCAUUUCUACUCUGCUUCUAGGUGGGCGCUGACAACCGGAGUGGGGUCAGGCCAUGGGCAGGGCAUGUGGCCUGCAGCAGGGCAGACAUCUCACCUGGGGCUGGAGUCAGUCACCUCAGCACAGGCCAAUGCCUGGGGAAUGACCUUGAGCCCCACCAAGAACCUGGCCGUUGAGUCCACUUGAGCCACUGCACAGAGAGGGGGUCAGCCAGGCCCGGACGGGCAGCUUUCCCCGCAGGGCCAUAGGGGGCAGCAGAGGGCCGGCAGGGCCAUGCGCGCAGGAGCCUGAGGGCCAGGGCCGAGCCAGCACCCGCACAGUAGAGGGCACGCCUGGGGUGGGAGAGCGGGUGACACAGACCAACAGUCAGGGUCCAGGCCUCGGGAACCCAGCAAUAGCGCGAGGGUCCAGGAGCAUCACGAGAGGCACAGCCUGUCUCCCCUCCAGGGGGUCUGAGUCAGAUGGUUAAAUCCGACCCCCCCCCCCACCUUGCUGGUCUGAGAGGGGAAGCCAACAACCUGUGCAGGGGGGGCCUCAACCAAAGGUGGAUGUCCCCCCCACUGCUCAGUGCUCUCCCUGAAUCCCACCUGCCCAAACCCUCGGCGCCUUCUCUCCCUCCAUCCACGCUGGCCCGGAAGCAUAGGAUAAACGAUUUCUCGAUGAGAAGCUUAAACGCUAAUUAGACUCCAGGUUUUUCCUCCCCGGAGAAUUUGUUUGCUUUUUUUUUUCCUCCCCAGGGAAUUUAACGGGAGCAGUGCACAGAGAAGCUGGGUGGAGGGGGCACCCUCGUCUGGCUGGCGGGGCACGGGUGGGAGACUGGAGACCCUGAGGGCGGGAAGCCUUUCCAAGCGCGCGGCAUGGGGGCUCCACCCACUAAGGGGGUCUGCAGCGCUAGAGGUGGGGUCUCCCAUCCUGAGGCUGCAUCUUACCCAACCCAGACCUGUGGCAUUCGCAUCCCUGAAAAUAUCGCAGGGGUUCUAGUUGGUUCUGGAGAACUUUAGAGCCUCCUCGAUUGAUUCAGGGUGGCAGCAUCCUCUAGGAUCCUGGCGCCCCCUGCUGCAGAGCCGGCCCCAGACCACCCCUCAUCACGGGCCCCGCGAGCCUCUCAGGGCAGAAACGACCCCACCCCCGAAGCCGCUUGCCUGGAACUCUGGGGUCUAAGCGUGGCGACUCCACGCCAGCUAACGGUCCGAGGCCUGCCGGCCCCAGCAAGGCCGAGGGCGGCGGGGACCCCGGUGGGGACGCCGUGGGUGGCGAAUGGGGGUCCCCGAUGGAGACGCCCGCACCCUCGGACCCCGCAUCGCCCCUCGCGUCCGCCGCCCCCGGCCCGUCCCCGGCAGCUCGCCCACCCCGGCCCCGGGCCCGCCGCGGACUCACCUGACGCCGCAGCUCGGGGUCUCCGGUUCUCGCCGCCGCAGCCGGCUCGGCAGGAACCACAGAGGAGGGGGAGCGAGGGGCGGGGCCGGGCGAGGGGCGGGGCCUGCGCGCACGCGUCCUCGGGGCGGGGCGGGGCGGGCUCCGCAGCUGGGCCGGCGCUCUGUCCCGCGCACCUGGCGCUCCCGGAACGUGCUGCGCGUCGUCGGUGAGUGCGACCCACCGAACCCCCGCCGCCUCGGGCACCGCUUUCCACGGCCGCUUGUUGUCCCCCCAGAAGCAGCCACUCGCCUCCCUCCAGCGGUCGGUGCCGACCCCAGCGUGCCCUGCAGCCCCCGGCCGUUCCCUCCUCGUCUCCCCUCCCUUCUGCCCCCAGACUCUUCAUGGUCCGCUCCUGGGAGAGGGAGGCAGGGUUGGCGUCGCUCACCGCGAGGUCUGCGGGGGUCGGCCAGCAUUCGGCACCCCACUCCUGCACUCGGCUCUGACCCUGCACCCCCACCCGUGCCAAGAGCAGCCUGGGCUAACUCUGCGGGCCCCCAGCUCGGGAGGAUGGGCGCCUUUCCAGAGCUCAGGGAUCCACAGAUCCCAGAGAGGACGCCAGAAGGGGGCUGGUGCCCAAGUCCCCAGAGACCAGCCAGCGUGCCCUGGGGCUCUCAUCUCCUCCUCACGCUUUUCUCAGACCGCAGAGCACUGUGGCUCGGCUCUCCUUCUCCUGGCUGAAGGGCUCAGCCCCCCACAUCCACCUGCCCUCUCCCCCAAACCCAUCCCCUCCCAGGAACCCCAGGUGCCUCCAGCGCCCUGCUGGUCAGGAGACUUCCAGUCGUCUCCAGGGCCCAUGUGGCCAAGGAAGCAGUUAUCCACAUGCCACACAGUAGGGCUGACUCUUCACUUAGGAGCUGCCUUUGUGCUGCCAGUAGAGGCAGUAACCGUGGUCUUCAAGAAAAUAUUCUCCCCCUGAGCGCUGAGAACAUCCAGCACCAAGAGGAGAGGAGAUGCCAAAGCGGGACUGAAAGAACUAAAGGCUCAGAUGGAGGAAUCUCUUCUGGGCCCUCCAAGUAGGACCCCUUCCCUGGAGGGGGGGAGAUUCUGCCAAAGAGCACCAGGGACAGAGGCCUUGCACUACAACUGCUGAGCCCUUCGCCCUUGUUUGGUUGGCUGUAUAGGUCUUUGCUUUCAGCCUUCUGCAUAUUGCAUGAUCCAGUUGAAGAAAAUAUAUCAUUCUGUCAAUGCAGAUCAUACCAGGAAGCACAAACUGUGCUAAGUGAGCAGUUGGGGUAUCUCCAUCUGCACAGCACUAGGAGGUGUGGGACACUAUUCCAUCCACGUGACCCACAGGGGAAGCCCAGGAGGUGGGCCCUGGUCCCAACCAGACAAGUGGUGGCACCAGGACUGGAGGAGGCCCUGUGUGACAAGCAUGGUGCUGGCAACCAUAGCUCUGACCUAGUGUCCCUGGACCAACAGCGGGUAUCUCUGAGGAGCUUGGAAUCCAGUGCAUUCUAGAGCCAUGGACUGAGAUGCCAAGCUUUAUUGGGGGGUAGGGGGUGGGGGGACUCAGAAUUGUCCUAAUUCUUGGGACCUUCUAAGAAGGAAGUGUGUUUGAUAACCAUGGCAGAGAAGAGGAUUCCCAGUUACCCCAGGCAUUUUGUGGGUUCCUAGGCAAGAGCUCCUCAAGGGCUGGGUGGCCAGAGCAUUCCAAGGAUGUCAGAGGCCUGUAGACAGGAAAUGCCCAAAGGCAGAGGUGAGGGGACAGUGGCCUCCAACAGAGGUCAACAACCUGGAGAGAAGCCAGAGAAGCAGCAGAACCCACAGAAGGUGGCCUGAGGUUCCCAGCAUCAGCUUUCUCAUGUGUCCCCAAAAGCUCACACCCAAUGUAAACACGUGGCAAAACACACGCACACUCACUCACAGAGCAACGACAAAACAAAAACCAUUAGCCAGCAGCAACAGGAGCCAAGCAACAGACAGUAAAGACCCUGGGCCUGGCCAGUGUUGUUCCUCCCCUGAGUCUGUGGCAGGCCUCAUGAAGGGAGCAGGAGAGAACUCAGUGCCCACAGCACUAGAUCAGCAGAAGAGCUAGAGUGGCCAAUUUGGAAGGAAAGAAAGAUUAGGAGAACAGCUCGGGAUUAAGACAGCUCUCAGGAAAUCCCAAACAGGACACAGCCCAUGCACCAGGACUCGGGGUCACAUAUGACACAGUCAGACCCUCAAAGUUGGAAAAAUGAUGGGGAUGACAAACGAUGAAGUACGAUUCAGCAACCUUACCCUGAGGAAGCACCUCCAUUUGGGGGCUAUCUGUGGCACAGCGCAUGAAACAUCGUUCCCUGCUGCCCUGGCAUAGCCUUAUAGCCUUACACAGUCCACUCCCAGUCUCUAGGACCCCCUCCCCCAGUCCCUGGGGUCCUCUGCAAAGAAGUUGCUCUCAAAUUCAGGCAACCAUCCUGGACUCCAUCCCUGUGGCUCAGGAAGUCAUAGAGUCUGUGACCAACGGGAGUCUGAACAGCAGCCCCUGGGCCUGUCUCAUCUGCAUAAGACCCGCCCCCUGGCCUGGUGUCAUUCACUGCUACUUCCUUCUGACCCACGCACCGCCUCCUGCCCGCACUUUUCCCCUCCCACUCCACCCUGCCGGCCAAUGGCAGGACAGGAAACUGAGCAGGAAGUGACGUCAUCACCCUCCCGGUUUAGGCCGCGGGGUGCUAGGCCUCAUGCCUGGGGAUGGCGCUUCAUCCGGAGACCACUUUAGAACAAGAGCGCUUGAGGACUAAAACUACCAUAGAAGGAACAAGAGCAACAGCAAAAGAUUUUCAGGCUCAGGCCAAGGAUGUGAUUUAGAAAUGGGAGCAAGAUUUUGAGGGGAUAAAAGGAGAAGAAAGAUGAACUCAGAAGGUGUGUCUGAGGAGAAGAAAAUCACAGAGGUCUUCAGACAGAAAUGACCCAGAUGAGGGUUGAGAUCCCCAGUGAUUACAGCAGAGAAAACCUAAAGGACAGUGGAGGCACUCUAGAAGCCCCGACUGCGGAAGCAGGGUCCUCUUUGUGGCCCACGUCAGGUGAGAACCCUUCCUGGAAAGGGGGACACUUCCCACACAAAGGACACCUUGGACAAGGGACUUACCGUGCUCCAGCUGAGUCAUUCUUGCUGCCCCUAGAGCUUUUGGAGGUUUCCAUCCUAGAUUGUUUGUUUAAUGGUGGGGCUCUUUCCUUGCAUGAGAUUGUCCUUGGAAUUUUUUUCUGAAAUGCAGUUUUUUGGGCCUUAACCACAGACGUUUUCAACAAGCGCCACACUGUCUCCGAUGUGGAU
RNAcentral lists this long non-coding RNA (5569 nucleotides) under Equus caballus (horse). Its description in RNAcentral is "lncRNA (ENSECAG00000029712.2)". Lineage: Eukaryota; Metazoa; Chordata; Mammalia; Perissodactyla; Equidae. The record is from RNAcentral.